Long non-coding RNA from Castor canadensis (American beaver), 902 nucleotides. Lineage: Eukaryota; Metazoa; Chordata; Mammalia; Rodentia; Castoridae. The record is from Ensembl.
GAGGGAGGGGUGUUUCAAAUGGAACUGUGGCUGCAGAGCCAGGCAGUGGCUGCAGGCUGAGCAAGGGAACUCAGAACCAAGUGCGGGUGGCCUGAGACAUUUGGUGCCUUGUCUUCCCAUGGGACCUGGGGAGCCACUGCCCACCAUCAAGGAAUUCAGUGACCUAAAGACAAUGGAACAGGGGACAGUUGCAUAUAUGCUUUUGAAAGCAGAGGUGAACUCAGAAAGAGAGUGUCCUAAGAGCUGGAUUUCAGAAAGCUCUUGAGACAGGGUCAAGAACCAAGGGCCCCGGGUGGAUUCCCAGCACUCAGGUUCCCACAGGCUCCAGCAAAGAGAACAAACAAAUCUUCAUGACAAGCAAGACACUGUGGCGGUUCUGGGCUGAUGGUUGUGAACCCCAACCCAGCCCGGGAGUAAAGGGGAUAGAGAGUGAUUCUGGGACAGCCUCUGACCUUAAAGAGCCCCCAAUGUCCACCUUUCACCUCCAAGUAGAAACGUCAGCCUUGAAGUACACAGCAGUGGAUAAAGACCGUCCCUGGCCAGGUAGAUGGACGGACAGCCUGCUCAGGAAGUUAGCUUCCACACUGCUUCCAGGCGGAGGUCUUCCCUACUCGUCGUGGAGAGCUGCAGAAUCACGAGUUCGUGAGUUUUUUCCAGCUCUGAUGUCAAGGGAAGGGGAAAGAGCAUUUCCAAUUGAAAGCAGUGAGAGUCCCAGAUGGAGUUCCACACCUUCUGUAAGUGAAAUCGCUGGGAUCCUGGCCAGAUGUCUCACACAGGAAGCUAUCCAUCCACAUCAAUUUAGCUACUGUUCACCCACAGAAGCUCCUGUGGUGGGUUCCUCCCCAGUGUGGGGAGGGUGGAGGAAGAGGAGGGAGACACAGAAGAAUCACCUAGAGAACUAA